GACGAACGCUGGCGGCGUGCUUAACAUAUGCAAGUCGAACGGUAAGGCCCUUCGGGGUACACGAGUGGCGAACGGGUGAGUAACACGUGGGUGAUCUGCCCUGCACUUCGGGAUAAGCCUGGGAAACUGGGUCUAAUACCGGAUAGGACCACUGCCUGCAUGGGUGGUGGUGGAAAGCUUUUGCGGUGUGGGAUGGGCCCGCGGCCUAUCAGCUUGUUGGUGGGGUGAUGGCCUACCAAGGCGACGACGGGUAGCCGGCCUGAGAGGGUGACCGGCCACACUGGGACUGAGAUACGGCCCAGACUCCUACGGGAGGCGGCAGUGGGGAAUAUUGCACAAUGGGCGCAAGCCUGAUGCAGCGACGCCGCGUGAGGGAUGACGGCCUUCGGGUUGUAAACCUCUUUCAGCACCGACGAAGCGCAAGUGACGGUAGGUGCAGAAGAAGGACCGGCCAACUACGUGCCAGCCGCCGCAGUAA
This 478-nucleotide ribosomal RNA is filed under the name uncultured bacterium. Its description in RNAcentral is "partial 16S ribosomal RNA". It matches the Rfam family "Bacterial small subunit ribosomal RNA", at positions 28 to 523 of the family's 1533-position model. The record is from RNAcentral.